CCCUCGGGUUGUAAACUACUUUUAUACGGGAAGAAAAAAUACUACGUGUAGUAUACUGACGGUACCGUAAGAAUAAGGAUCGGCUAACUCCGUGCCAGCAGCCGCGGUAAUACGGAGGAUUCGAGCGUUGUCCGGAUUUAUUGGGUUUAAAGGGUGCGUAGGCGGAUUUUUAAGUCAGUGGUGAAAGCCUGCAGCUCAACUGUAGAAUUGCCAUUGAAACUGAAAAUCUUGAAUUUGGUUAAAGUAGGCGGAAUGUAUCAUGUAGCGGUGAAAUGCUUAGAUAUGAUACAGAACACCGAUAGCGAAGGCAGCUUGCUGAACCAAUAUUGACGCUGAGGCACGAAAGCGUGGGGAGCAAACAGGAUUAGAUACCCUGGUAGUCCACGCCCUAAACGUUGAUUACUCGUUGUUGGCGAUAUACAGUCAGCGACCAAGCUAAAGCGUUAAGUAAUCCACCUGGGAAGUACGACCGCAAGGUUGAAACUCAAAGGAAUUGACGG
Molecule: ribosomal RNA, 500 nt
Filed under: uncultured bacterium
Lineage: Bacteria
Description: bacterial SSU rRNA
Rfam family: Bacterial small subunit ribosomal RNA
Source: RNAcentral